GAGGUGAAUCCGUCCUAGUGUUACCUUGUCACCGAGGCACACGUUAAAGAUUGUUCCAUGUUGUGAGUCUAACACCAGUUGUAAAAACAAAUACAACCGGUAGCGCUGGAUCCCUGGGCACGUCAUUCGAUGAAGACCGUUGCAAAUUGCGAUAAAGUGAUGUGAUGCGCAAGUCCACCACUUAUACGUGAAUCAUCGAGUUGUUGAACGCACUGCACCGCGCCCUAAUCCGGCUGCGGUAUGCCCCUUUGAGCGUCAUUGUAUCCCUUCGGGAGUCCUUUCUUAGACCCGAGUUUGGAGUCCUUGGUCUUUGGAUCAUGUUCUCUUAGAUGCGUCGCGCUGAUCGCCUGAUGGGUCACUCUAAUGCCUGAGCGUGGAGUCCCUCAGAGCUGAGAUGCGCUUGACCAAGUGUUGAGCUUGUGUCUCCAAGUCCACGUUCUUUUGGGACGUUGGUACUACAAUGCAUGACCUCAUUGGGGUAGGACAACCCGCUAGACUUAAGCAUAUUAAUCAGCGGAGGAAAAGAAACUAACCAGGAUUCCCCUAGUAACUGCGAGUGAAGCGGGAUCGGC
RNAcentral lists this ribosomal RNA (572 nucleotides) under uncultured Tulasnellaceae. RNAcentral describes it as "eukaryotic LSU rRNA". The stretch from base 466 to 572 matches the Rfam family "Eukaryotic large subunit ribosomal RNA", at positions 1 to 108 of the family's 3401-position model. Lineage: Eukaryota; Fungi; Basidiomycota; Agaricomycetes; Cantharellales; Tulasnellaceae. The record is from RNAcentral.